UACGAAGGGGGCUAGCGUUGCUCGGAAUCACUGGGCGUAAAGCGCACGUAGGCGGCUUACUAAGUCAGGGGUGAAAUCCUGGAGCUCAACUCCAGAACUGCCUUUGAUACUGGUGAGCUUGAGUCCGGAAGAGGUGAGUGGAACUGCGAGUGUAGAGGUGAAAUUCGUAGAUAUUCGCAAGAACACCAGUGGCGAAGGCGGCUCACUGGCCCGGUACUGACGCUGAGGUGCGAAAGCGUGGGGAGCAAACAGG
Molecule: ribosomal RNA, 253 nt
Filed under: uncultured bacterium
Lineage: Bacteria
Description: partial 16S ribosomal RNA
Rfam family: Bacterial small subunit ribosomal RNA
Source: RNAcentral